CUACAUGCCUAAGUCUUUUCUCCACCUCUCCAGAUUCCCUCUUUCUCUGCUAGUGGAUGGCUAGGGAAGGUGGGCCGAGGGGUGAGGACUGGAGGGAAGGGUAGAUAGGGUAUGCUGAGAGCCUUUUUUAUUCCACAGGAAAGCAUGUACCUCAGGGCUCGGUGGGACUCAUGGUGGCAAUCAUUUACCAGGAAGACCCAUUCUCCAGUUGGUCACAGCUUGUUUUGUUCAAAUGAGCAUACAUUUACCGAGGGCUCACUAUGUGUCGGGCUUCGGGAUGGUACACAAAGAUAAGAAGACGUGGCUCCUGGCCUGGUGCAGUAUCUGGGAUUGGCAUGAAGGGAUGUCUGUUGAGCGGCGGUUGUAGGAGACAUUUCUUUGCCCCAAGGAAAAGCUAGAAAAUUUGAUCUCUUUCUUCUCCGGGAUCUGGUCAUGUGGACAUGUGACUCUGGGAUCUGUGAAGCCUUGUUGCUGCCAGUUGGAGGAUGAAGCCAACACUGAGGAGGCCGAGCAGGAUGAGGGAUCUAUCUCCUUGAUCCUGCCAUUGAGCCAUGGACCCACUGCCUUGAAGCUGCAUCUCUGGACUUUACACUGCGUGAAAUAAUACAUAUCUUUAAUGUUUAAGCCAUUUUAGUUGUGUUUUCUAUUACUUUAGCUAAAAGUACCAUUACUAAUACUGAUGUCUCUGCUUUCAGCGAUGCAUCCCAAAAGCAGUGGGAGGAUUAAAAAAAUAUUCUGUAAUCGCAAUGAAUUGGGGAAGGAAUUUUCUCCUCUUGUAAGAAAGAAUUACUUCCUAAAAAGUUUCUCAGAAGCCAUUUUUUGGAAUGUAACUCUAAAACCUUUCUUAAAAUAGAAACUAUCUACAUACCUGUAUUAUGCUUGAUAUGUUUGAUCUAUAGCUCUCGACUUUUUUUGAGACAGUGUCUUGCGAUGUUGCCCAGGUUGGAUUCAAACUCCUUGACUCAAGCAAUUCUCCCACCUCAGCCUACUGAGUAGCUGGGACUACAGGUGUCCACUCCCAUGCCUGGCCCUAUCUAUAUUUUUUGGAGAGGCGACACAUAAAGUUAGUAAGCAUAUCAUAAUUGGGGACAUAUCAACUCACAGAAAACAAACAUUUCAGGAUUGUGUUAGUCUGUUGGUGAAUUCUUCUCUUUUUCCUCCUCUUUUCCUCCUCCUUCCUCUCUUUCUUUAUCCAUACUUUCUACAUAAACAUUUUGGGAUAAAAUUUGAGAAGGAAUAUUUUAAAAUGUGAUUUGCAAGCUGGAUCAGUUUUAAGACCGAGUUUGCUAGCCCUUGAUUAUCUCCCUGUCCACAUCUUUUCCAUGCAUGCCAGCAGGGAAGGGGCAUGAAAGCAACGAAGGCCUUUUGAAGGGUGCUCCCAUCCACACCUAUUCUAUCCACACCUUUAUCUCAUGGCCAUUAAACCCCAGGCAUCCAUUCUGGACUCUGGUUCUUAGUGGAAGACGUUUCUUUCCUGCUAACCAUACAGAUUGGGCUUAGUGCAAUCUGGGGCUAUUUAUGUCUCCAUAUCCCAAGGCAAUGAUGAUAACUGAUAGCAUAGUGAAUCAAAGAAGCCAUGUUAGUGUGCUGUCCCACUGCUUGACAGCUGUCUGAGGGAUUCACUUAUAUACUCUCACUGCUGGAGCUUCAGCAAAGGUGACUCUGAAAUUGCAUGGUGAAAUUGAUCCUGGGCCAUUCAGUGAGGAGACUCACGCAUGUGGGAGGCUCAUCUCCCAACCAGUCUCCCACAGUCCUGUGUCCCACCCCUCCCCCCGCCCUCCAAUGCUCUCUUCACAUUGCAGACCCUCCUGGCACUCUUAAAAAUGAUUUUUGGUCAUGCCACUCUCUUUCGCUUAAAUACCUUUGUUAGCUCCCUGUCACUUAGGGAUAAAAUUUAAAUGUCUUUCCUUGGCAUCCCUGAGUGUUUUGAGCCUGGCUUACAAUUUAAAAAUUUUUUAGAAAAUCAAAUAAUACCUACCAUGGUUAAAAAAUAAAUAAAGAGGCUCAAAACAGUCCCUUGAUCCACCUUUCUCAUCAUCCUUUAUCCAUAGAGACCCUCACUUUUUUAUUUUUAAUUUUCGUGGGUACAUAGUAGGUAUAUAUAUUUAUGGGUUACAUGAGAUAUUUUGAUACAUGCAUGCAAUGUGUAAUAAUCACAUCAGGGUAAAUGGGGUAUCCAUCACCUCAAGCAUUUAUCCUUUAUGUUACAAACAAUCCAAUUAUGCUCUUUUAGUUAUUUUAAAAUGUACAGUUAUUUUUGACUAUAGUCACCCUAUUGUGCUAGCAAAUACUAGGUCUUAUUCAUUUUAUUUUUGGUACCCAUUAAGCAUUCCGCCUGUACCCCCAAAACCCACUACCCUUCCCAGCCUCUGGUAAACAUCCUUCACUCUUUAUCUCCAU
This 2400-nucleotide long non-coding RNA is filed under the name Homo sapiens (human). Its description in RNAcentral is "HSALNT0089301". Lineage: Eukaryota; Metazoa; Chordata; Mammalia; Primates; Hominidae. The record is from RNAcentral.